GAAAUGCGAUAAGUAAUGCGAAUUGCAGAAUUCCGUGAGUCAUCGAAUCUUUGAACGCACAUUGCGCCCUUUGGUAUUCCGAAGGGCAUGCCUGUUCGAGCGUCAUUAUCACCCCUCAAGCCCGGCUUGGUGUUGGACCCCGGGUCCCCUCGCGGGGACCGGUCCCAAAGAUAAUGGCAGGUUGGUCGCGACCUCGGUACACUGAGCUUCACAAGAGCACGUGCCGUGUGGGCGUCGACCGGCCUGGUCUCCCCCCUAAAUUUUUCUUAGGUUGACCUCGGAUCAGGUAGGAAUACCCGCUGAACUUAA
RNAcentral lists this unclassified non-coding RNA (309 nucleotides) under uncultured Exophiala. RNAcentral's name for it is "sequence contains ITS1". The stretch from base 1 to 105 matches the Rfam family "5.8S ribosomal RNA", at positions 50 to 154 of the family's 154-position model. The record is from RNAcentral. Lineage: Eukaryota; Fungi; Ascomycota; Eurotiomycetes; Chaetothyriales; Herpotrichiellaceae.